CUUUCUUUGUUUUGUGUCUUUGUUCUUAGUAUUUCCCCACACAAUGAGGACAUUGUGUUGUUUAAGUGUGGGGGAGUUUUUAUGUCUUUUGUCUUGAGUCUAUGUGUUCGUUUUGUUUUGGUUUUUGUUUGGUGUUUGUGAGUCUGUCUAUGGCAACUUUUCAUGCGAGCAUUUUGAUUUGUUAGGAUGAGCAUAUUGAUAUGGAUUGUAUGGUUGUUUUCUUGGAUGAUAUGAAAAUGUGUUGAAACCCAUAUGUGUUUGAGGAUGACAAAUGUGUAAAUUGAUCAAUUUGUUGAAAACCACUCAUAUAGUGAGGAUUGAGCCUUUUGAGCAAUAACUUGAAUGCUCCUUGCUUGUUCUUUG
This 363-nucleotide long non-coding RNA is filed under the name Salvia miltiorrhiza (redroot sage). RNAcentral's name for it is "long non-coding RNA (SMIL_LNC001387)". The record is from RNAcentral. Lineage: Eukaryota; Viridiplantae; Streptophyta; Magnoliopsida; Lamiales; Lamiaceae.